GGUUAAAUAGUUUAUAUAAAACUCUUGAUUUGCAUUCAAGAAAAGAUUUUUUUCUUUAACCA
Molecule: transfer RNA, 62 nt
Filed under: Graptacme eborea
Lineage: Eukaryota; Metazoa; Mollusca; Scaphopoda; Dentaliida; Dentaliidae
Description: tRNA-Ala
Source: RNAcentral